AACGAACGCUGGCGGCAUGCCUAACACAUGCAAGUCGAACGGGAUCCUAGCUUGCUAGGUGAGAGUGGCGGACGGGUGAGUAACACGUGGGAAUCUGCCUUUUGGUUCGGGAUAACCGCGGGAAACUGCGGCUAAUACCGAAUGCCCUCGAGAGAGGAAAGAUUUAUCGCCAGAAGAGGAGCCCGCGUCCGAUUAGGUAGUUGGUGGGGUAAAGGCCUACCAAGCCGACGAUCGGUAGCUGGUCUGAGAGGAUGAUCAGCCACACUGGGACUGAGAUACGGCCCAGACUCCUACGGGAGGCAGCAGUGGGGAAUAUUGGACAAUGGGGGCAACCCUGAUCCAGCAAUGCCGCGUGAGUGAUGAAGGCCUUAGGGUUGUAAAGCUCUUUUGCCAGGGAAGAUGAUGACUGUACCUGGAGAAUAAGCCCCGGCUAAACUUCGUGCCAGCAGCCGCGGU
RNAcentral lists this ribosomal RNA (456 nucleotides) under uncultured bacterium. RNAcentral describes it as "bacterial SSU rRNA". It matches the Rfam family "Bacterial small subunit ribosomal RNA", at positions 29 to 521 of the family's 1533-position model. The record is from RNAcentral.